CCUACGGGUGACAGCAGUGAGGAAUAUUGGUCAAUGGCCGGAAGGCUGAACCAGCCAUGCCGCGUGAAGGUCAGUGCCCUAUGGGCGUUAAACUUCUUUUGUGCGGGAGCAAUAAUGGUCACGUGUGACCAGACGAGAGUACCGUACGAAUAAGCAUCGGCUAAAUCCGUGCCAGCAGCCGCGGUAAUACGGGGGAUGCAAGCGGUAGCCGGAUUUAUGGGGUUGAAAGGGUGCGUAAGCUGUGAGGUAAGUCAGCGGUGUAAUGCCCCCGGUCAACGGGGUGAAGUGCAAUUGAUACUGGCUAGCUGGAAUGCGGAUGCGGUGAGAGGAAUGUGUGGUGUAGCGGUGAAAUGCAUAGAUAUCAGAAAGAACACCGAUUGCGAAGGCAUCUCACGGAGCCGCGAUUGACGCUGAUGCACGAAAGCGUGGGUAGCAAACAGGAUUAGAUACCCUAGUAGUC
This 460-nucleotide ribosomal RNA is filed under the name uncultured bacterium. Its description in RNAcentral is "partial 16S ribosomal RNA". It matches the Rfam family "Bacterial small subunit ribosomal RNA", at positions 338 to 795 of the family's 1533-position model. The record is from RNAcentral.